GGAAUAUUGCACAAUGGGCGAAAGCCUGAUGCAGCAACGCCGCGUGGGGGAUGAAGGCCUUCGGGUUGUAAACCCCUUUCAGGAGGGAAGAAAUUGACGGUACCUCCAAAAGAAGCCCCGGCCAACUACGUGCCAGCAGCCGCGGUAAUACGUAGGGGGCGAGCGUUGUCCGGAAUCAUUGGGCGUAAAGAGCUCGUAGGCGGUUCAACAAGUCGGCUGUGAAAGUCCGAGGCUCAACCUCGGAAUUGCAGUCGAAACUGUUGUGACUCGAGUCCGGUAGAGGAGAAUGGAAUUCCCGGUGUAGCGGUGAAAUGCGCAGAUAUCGGGAGGAACACCAGUAGCGAAGGCGCUUCUCUGGGCCGGCACUGACGCUGAGGAGCGAAAGCGUGGGGAGCAAAC
Molecule: ribosomal RNA, 399 nt
Filed under: uncultured bacterium
Lineage: Bacteria
Description: bacterial SSU rRNA
Rfam family: Bacterial small subunit ribosomal RNA
Source: RNAcentral